Molecule: ribosomal RNA, 333 nt
Filed under: Cyrtocarenum cunicularium
Lineage: Eukaryota; Metazoa; Arthropoda; Arachnida; Araneae; Ctenizidae
Description: partial 12S ribosomal RNA
Source: RNAcentral
AAAGGUAAUACUUCUAGGAAACCUUUAUUCUUUGGCGGCCUUUUUUCUUAUCAGAGGAAUUCGUCUUCCAAUCGAAAUUACCCGCUUAUUUUCUCUUUAUUCUUUUUAUUUAUACCGCCGUCUAAAUAAUACAUUAAAAAUUCUAUUUAUAAUAAUUUUUACUAAGUCAGGUCAAGGUGAAGAUAUAAUAAAGAUUAGAUAAAUUACCUAUUAACAUUAUCAAUGAAUUUUAAUCUAAAGUUUCAAAUGAAACAGGAUUUGAAAGUAGGGGGAACAUAAAUAAAAAUUUCACCCGAACUAGCGUUUAGGUGUACACAUCGCCCGUCGCUCUUA